CUUGCGUUAACAGGUGGGCGGAUCAAGGCCUGAGGGCCCUCGCUGGGAAGAUUUAAAAGGACUCAGUGCCAGUGUCUGGGACCAAUGUUCGGUGAAUCUUUGCUUCUUUGACUCACAGUUUUACAGAACCACUGAAGCCAGGCAAUUUGUGUGGUGGGAGACCCUUGUGUGAGGCUGUGGAAAUGAAGACUGGGUGACAGAUGUUGGAGUUGCCAGAGCCUGGAGACAUCUGCUGAGGAGAGCUUGAUACAGGGCAUGGAUCCAGCCAAUGAGAGAGAAGCGUGUUGCAGACAACAAAGCUGGAGGUUUAAGAACCCUUAAAUCUAAAGCCCCAGACACCGACUGAAUGUGAAGGUCCAACCCAAAAGUCACAGUCAUCAAUGAGCGAAUGAGAAUUUCUCUCCUCACAUGGUUUAAUUCAGCCACUUCCUAGGACUUUGACUGCACACCAGGUCAGUGAACUCACACUAGCAAGGAUGAAGAAGAAAAAAGAAAAAAAAAAAAACAACCUGUGGUGAAUUUAGAUGAAUGAACGGCCAACACAAGCUGGUACAUGCCUGCAAUCCCAACAUUGGAGAGACGGGAAGAAUGUGAGUCUGAGGCCGUCUUAGAUACCUUAGGGAGAUCUUGUCUCAAAAAAAAAAAAAAAAGGAUGGACAAUUCAAGACAGUAAGAAACCUGGGCACAAACCAAACUGUUUCACAAUAGGUCGUGAGAUUGGAGUGCGUCUCGGCUUUUCUGAGAUUCUACACGUGUCCGUGGAAGUAUAAACAUGAGUAUGCAUGGGCUAGCAUAGCUGUGCUGUUGGAAAUGAGUGCAAAUGUGCAGAGGUCUAUGAUGUCAGCGGCUGACAGGUAUGUGAGCUGAAAAAAGUAAUAUAGGCAAUGAUAUUUUUAUCCUUUAUAGUUGUUACGUUAGCAAUGUAAACAUGUUAAGUUUUAUUAUGGCAUAUUUCAAACAAACAAAACUGUAUGCUUUUUUUUCUUUUCUUCUCCCCUUUCCCUGCCAUGGCUUUUCUCUCAAAUCAACCUGCUUUCAGGUCAGGUGCAUUCUUUUGGUAUUACCCCCCAGAAAUUAUGAGUCCCGUCUUGCUCUCUCCUCUCUAUUUCAGAGUCUAUAUCCCUAACAACCUCUUGUUUAUGUUUAUACAAACCUUAAAAGUUAGGAUCUGGCCAGGUAGUGUGGUGAUGUAUUCCUUUAAUCCCAGAACUCCUAGGCAGAGGCAUGCCUAUCUCCUUGAGUUUGGGGCCAGACUAAUACACACAUCAAGCUCUAGGACAACCAGAGAGAGCUGCACAGUAAGACCUUGUCUCAAGAAAAGAAUUUUAAAAGGGAUCUGAGUAUAAGGGAGAAAGUGUUUUUUUUUUUUUUAAAAAAAAAAUCUGUCUGUGUUAGCAUCACCUCCAUCCAAUUUUUCACCAGCUCAGAUCCAUCCACUUUCCUGGAAAUUUUACAAUUUUAUAAUUUUAGAGUCAAAUUUCAUAGCGUACACAUACCUCAAAUUUUCCAUUCAUUAGUUAAUACCCAUCUAGGCUGGCGUCAUGCCAAAAAUACAGCAAUAAACAUGGGUGUUCAUAUGCCUCUGUGGUAAGAGUGGAGCUGGUCCUAUGAUAGAUCUGGUUUUACAUUUUUGAGAAAUCACCAUACUUCCUAUAUUACCUAAUUUCCUCUCUCAGCAGUAGUGAACAAAAGUUCCUCUUUCCCCCAAACCUUCCUAGUAUUGGCUGGUACUUCCUUUCUUGCUGAUAGCCAUUCUCAUUGGAGUAACAUGGCAUCUCAAAGCAGCUCUAAUUUACAUUUCCUUGUGACUCAGGGUGUUGAACAUUUUAUGCAUGUAUGAACAUCUCAAGCCAUUAAAAUCAUUAUCUGACUCAGGGCCCAGGAGUCCCUGAGGUUGAACCAACCUGAAGGCCUGCUUCAUGAGGACUAACUUCCGUGGUAUCAGUAGGUUUUAUACCAGGAGAGAAGCAACAGAUAGCCCUGUGCAGCCAUGACACCUAGGAGCCACAGUGAGGACCAGCAUGGCACUGUAACCCUAAGAGUGCAGUAAUGACAUCUAUACCUUAGCCGUAAACAACAGCUUUCUUUUUGGACUUAAGACCCAAUCAGCAAGAGAGAAACUAUGCCUGGACCUGGAAAUGUAGGCUCCUGCCAGGGCUAGUGUAGUCAGGGAUCGUUGAGGAAAAUCUACAACUACUACUUUAGUAGAAUGCAUAACUGCAUUUUAAAUAUUUGUUCUUUUGCCCACAAAUAAGUAUAGUCCUCAUCUUCCAUCAAGGAAACUUCACUUUGCAACAGAUGGGGACCAUUACGAGAAAAUGGCAAGCAAUCUAAAUGAAGGCUUGAGGAGCCCAAACGCAAUGGACACUUCUUCAAAACAACGACCACACAUAAGGCUCAGGGAACAUUGUAGAUGAGGGGGUGGAAAGAUUGUAUGAGCCAGAGGAAGGAGUUUGUUGUAAGGCUGAAUUGCCUGGUAAUCUCAGACACUACAUCUAUAAACGCUCGCUAUGAUUGCCUAAACAUACUGGAACAAAGAUGCCACCAGUGGAAAUGCCUAAGUGCCAAGAAAACUGGCCUCAACUCUGCAUAAAGACUAAGACAAAAGUGGACUCUAAAGCCAACCAAGAAUGGCUGAAAGUGAGAGAACUAGUCUCUAGGGAGCUGCACAAUACUCAGGUGUUGCCUCAGCUGCUCUUCAGUGCACACCAGAACCCUCAAGAAGUAGACUCAAAUGCCAGCAAAGGAACACAUUUACUAGUGAAAGUGAGGGCAAACAGGCAAAGGGAUAGAACAAACUUUCUUUUUCUGAGUCCUUGAUAUAGGCUGCUAGCAGAAAGUGUGGUCCAGAUUAAAGUUUUAUCUUCCCACCUCUAAAGAUCUAGAUUACGAGUUUACCUUCCCACCGAAAGAUCUGGAUUAUAAGUGGGUCUUCCCACUUCAAAUGAUUUCAUUAACAACAGCAACAACAACAACAAAAUCCCUUGUAGAUGUUGCCAGCCAAUAGAUUUUAGUUAAUUCCAGAUGUAGUCAAACUGACAACCAAGAAUAGCCAUCACCACAGUUAUCCAAUACUGAAUUGUCAACCCUGUAAACAUGAAUAAAUAUGUAUAAACAUAUAUGUAUGUAACAAUAAUUAAUGAAAAAAGAGCAUAUGAAUUUAAAAAAGAGCAAAGAAGAAAGUAGAAAAGUUUGGAGGUGGAAAGGGAAAGAAGAAAUGAUGUAACUAUAUUAUAUUCUCAGCAAUACAAGACAAAAAUUUAAAAAGGUCUUAGAAAAAAGACUUUUAGUGAUUCCAUAUGUAAAGAAUGUGAGAUCCCCAUUCAUAAUUUUAUAUAAAUUACAUGUCAAAUGAUAGUUAAGGCAUAACUAAGUAUGCAUUCUAGAAUAAUGCAUUUAAUAAAACCUUUUAAAGUUUUUACACAAUUGGUCGCUUGUGUGUCUCCUUGUAAGAGGUGUCUGCUUUACUAGGUCACUGUUGAGCAGCAGAUCUGCCUUUUGGUACUAAUUAUUUUAAUUCUUUGUACGUUCUCAAUGUCAGUCACUGUAUGAGGAAUGGCUGAUACAGUCUUAGUUACUGUUUUAUUGCUGUGAAGAGACACCAUGACCAAUGUAGCUUAUAGAUAAAAGCAUUAGUUGGGAGUUUGUUUACAGUUUCACUUCAUCUUGGCAGGAAGCAUCCCGGC
Molecule: long non-coding RNA, 3686 nt
Organism: Alexandromys fortis (reed vole)
Lineage: Eukaryota; Metazoa; Chordata; Mammalia; Rodentia; Cricetidae
Exons: 4
Source: RefSeq, a predicted model, not a curated record